CCAUUAUUGAUUGACACAAGUGAAUUUUCUUUUCUUCUUGCAACCAGUGGAUCAAUGCUAGGGACUUGGAAACAAGCGUAGUGUCACCAGAAAUCAAAUAUGUUCAACAAAAAGAGUCUUCACCUAUCCAUCUGUUGUUCUAAAGUUACCCAGAAUUUUGUGCAACUUGCAACACAGAGAAGAAGCUGAGAAGGUAAGUCCACUGACUGAGAACUGCAGCAUUUAGGACCAUAACCGGACUGUUACCUGCCCUUGUCCACAGUUGUCCCCCACCUCUUGUACCUCUGUUUGCCCUCUACAGUGCUAUACUGACCCUUCAAAUUUGGCAAAGAUCAUAUAAAAAAAAGUUAACUAACUAUUGAAAUGCCAUUUGCUAUUGCUCCCAUCUCCUGUAGAGUUCAUUCAGUUACUGAUUGCCUUAGGCUAUUCUAAUGGAUUUUCUGUCUGUUAGAAAUACAUAUAUAUCCCUGAGAAAUGCAGCAACAUUUUUCAUGUUUUAAAACUUCCCAAAUUCCUAACAGAGUGUUUAAAUUUUAUUUUGAAUGUGGUAAUAUGUAAGUCGAUGUAGUCUCUGUUAAUUCUUCUUUGUAAAUUAAUACUUUUGUCAGUGCAGUAGUUUUGUUACAGUAUAUACCUGUGCAUCAGCAUUUAGCUGCUCAAAGUUUAGUUUGUUUAGAUUAUUUUACCCCAAGGAGGCCGAGAGAGUUUGGGGUUUAUUUAGCAUUUCACUAAAUCUCUGAUACCUGGAGAGUAUGAAGUUA
Molecule: long non-coding RNA, 761 nt
Filed under: Anas platyrhynchos platyrhynchos (common mallard)
Lineage: Eukaryota; Metazoa; Chordata; Aves; Anseriformes; Anatidae
Description: lncRNA (ENSAPLG00000029138.1)
Source: RNAcentral